RNAcentral lists this ribosomal RNA (587 nucleotides) under uncultured bacterium. Its description in RNAcentral is "bacterial SSU rRNA". It matches the Rfam family "Bacterial small subunit ribosomal RNA", at positions 337 to 916 of the family's 1533-position model. The record is from RNAcentral.
UCCUACGGGAGGCAGCAGUGGGGAAUAUUGCACAAUGGGCGCAAGCCUGAUGCAGCCAUGCCGCGUGUAUGAAGAAGGCCUUCGGGUUGUAAAGUACUUUCAGUCGUGAGGAAGGCAUUAGCGUUAAUAGCGUUAGUGUUUGACGUUAGCGACAGAAGAAGCACCGGCUAACUCCGUGCCAGCAGCCGCGGUAAUACGGAGGGUGCGAGCGUUAAUCGGAAUUACUGGGCGUAAAGCGCAUGCAGGUGGUUUGUUAAGUCAGAUGUGAAAGCCCGGGGCUCAACCUCGGAACCGCAUUUGAAACUGGCAGGCUAGAGUACUGUAGAGGGGGGUAGAAUUUCAGGUGUAGCGGUGAAAUGCGUAGAGAUCUGAAGGAAUACCGGUGGCGAAGGCGGCCCCCUGGACAGAUACUGACACUCAGAUGCGAAAGCGUGGGGAGCAAACAGGAUUAGAUACCCUGGUAGUCCACGCCGUAAACGAUGUCUACUUGGAGGUUGUGGCCUUGAGCCGUGGCUUUCGGAGCUAACGCGUUAAGUAGACCGCCUGGGGAGUACGGUCGCAAGAUUAAAACUCAAAUGAAUUGACGG